Bactrocera oleae (olive fruit fly) is the source of this 3474-nucleotide RNA transcript. It is a transcript of the gene named orientation disruptor, with no coding region annotated. The record is from RefSeq and is a predicted model, not a curated record. Lineage: Eukaryota; Metazoa; Arthropoda; Insecta; Diptera; Tephritidae.
AUUUGUUUACAAUCGCAUUCAACAAAAUUUACAGUAAAUAUCGGAAUGCUCAAAUUAUUACCAAGCACUGCAUUUGGCAAUAGUGCAAAUGCAAAAUGUGGUGAAAUCUAUUGUCACAGUUCCACCGAAUUUACCAUUAUUUGUACACUGUGCGAACUCAAAGCGUUCGACUACCAGGAUUUCAUGCAUCACUGUAAGAAUGUACACCUCGAAAACGACUUAUUGAAAACAGAAGAAAUAUUUGUUGAAGUCGCACCAUACCUGUCAUCAAAUGUGAAGGAUGAAGCUGAAGCUGAAUUCCUGGAAGAGCAUGACUUUGUCUUUUCUGAUGAAGAAAAGGAAAAGUCAGAGUUACGUAUUAGCCAAUGGAAAGAGGAUAACUCGUUAUCUGAACAUUCAGACAGUGAUACGGAGAAUAAUUUUGAAUCUAAUUUUGAUGAUAAAGAUUACAUACCACCUGUAGAUCAACGAAAGCGAAACGAAAAGCGUAAUCGUAAAACCGAGUCAUACAAAUGUGAAAUAUGUUCCCGUAUCUACAAAAGUUCACAUUAUCUGCGAACACAUUUGGCAAAAACACAUAAUUCUGAGAGUAGGAAAACCGCCAGCAUCCAGUUUCAAAAAUGUGAUGAAUGCACAGGAGAAUUUAGGACAUUACGUAGUUUAGAGGAGCAUUCCCUUUCGGCACAUGGUGGUAUGAAAUGUAUGUAUUGUGAUAAACGAUGUACAUCGCGAACAAAUCAGCUACGACAUAUGGAAAUUCAUACACAUGGCACGGAACGACGGUUCGUCUGCGAUUAUGAUAACUGUAAGAAAAGUUUCUUUACACGCCGUCAAUAUCAAGCUCACAAACGCACCCAUACAAAAGGAAAGAAUUUCAUAUGUGAUAUAUGUGGCUACUCGUGUCGAGUACCGGAAAUGCUUAAAGUGCAUUAUCGUUCACAUACAGGUGAGAAACCGUUUGCUUGCGAUGAAUGCGGCAAAUGUUUUGUAUCAAAAUCGGCGGUUAGGGAGCAUAAAGCAUCACAUGGCACUGAGCGUCCACAUGAAUGUAAAGUAUGUGGACGCUCUUUUGCAAGGGCAAAAUCGCUAUACCAUCAUAAUUUCUUACAUCUCGCAGAGAAGAAGUUUAAAUGCAAGUUAUGUGGACAGGCAUAUGCACAGCUUGCUGGUUUAGCUGGACAUAUGAGACGACAUCGGGAGCAGGGCCAUUGCUGAUAAGUUCUUGACACAGCUGCAUCUUUAAAAAAAGCUAAGUUAUUAUUCGGUCAUUCAAACCAUCCAAACCUUUAUUACUUUUUAAUUACUUAUUGUAUAUGAAUAGGGACUAUUGAAUAUUAAUUAUUAAAAAUGUUUUGUUAAUCGACAGCUAUUUUUGCUUUAAUAUACAUUUAUAUAGAUUUAAGCAAUUACAAUUAUUUACAACGAAUAAAAAAGUAUUUUUUCUAAAAAUACCAUAUUCAUAAUAUACCAUAUACAAAAUAUUAAGUAUCUAAGCGCAAUAACAAAAUUUAAAAUGCUUCAAAGCUCACGUCAUAUUUUAAACAUUUUUGUGCGUACUGUUUUCGUGCCAAGUUUUAUAUAGUACUGUACACAUUCUUUUUCGGAAGUUAAAUUUGCAAUUGGUUUGACAGAUGUAGCGGAAAUGUUUUUUGAGGAGAUAGAGAUUAGUAAUAUACUCAACUGUGCACAUGUGAAAUUGCAUUUUAAACAAACGCAAAGUACAGUUUACGUUGUACAAGGCAGCAACGACUGCCCACUUCGCUUUACAGUGAGCACUGCUAUUAAAUUAAUUUGCAGUGGUCAAUAUGCAAGUAUUGAAUCAUUAACUCAAUUUAAAAACCUGCAUGAGGGCUAUGUCCGUAUAGUGUUGCUCAUUUCAAAAGAAGCUUGUGAAAUAACAGCAUCAUUGGAGUCAGAUAACACAAAUUUGGAAAGUGAUAGUGAUAGCGAUGCGCCAUGCACAUCUAAAUGGGCACUAAAUCGCGAACAGCGACGUAAUCAGCGUCAGCUACGUAACACGCAUUUAUUGCAAAGGCAGCAGCAACUAUUUCAUAAGGUAGAGGCAUUACGCGACUUCCGGUAUAGUCCGGAAUCGAUCGAAUACACUCUCGAUGCAGGUGCAAAGCAAAAAAGUAGUGUUUUCGAAUUCCAAUUGAAAUUUCGCACGAAUAUCGAUUACAUCCUGCGUCAGCCAGAAAUAUCACGUGGGGGAUUUUCCGGAAAUUGGUUGGAGUUUAUAACAACAAAGUUGAAUGGGGCUAUGAAUCGAGAGGAAGAAAUUUCGAAAUUAUUUGGAUAUUUUGUGCAACUAUUUUUAAAAAAUCGUUACAAUGAGUGUGAUUUAUUGUCUAAAUUAACGACCUGCUGUAUUAUUGGACACACUGCCUUAGAUGUUAUGAUUGCGGUCGAUGCCCUAAAGAUUUUCAAUGACGUACGCAAUACUUUUGAGUUUAUUACAUGCAUGGAAUAUACAGUAUGGUUUCUAAUCCCAUAUAAAGGUCGUUAUGUAUCAGUGCAAGAAGUGAGUGUUGAAAAUUUCCAAUUUAAUAACGUAUAUACAUGCAUAAAACUAAAGGCGAUGGAACAAAAUCCCUGCAGAGAAUAUAUAUGGUCGGACGCAGAUCACGCAAUCCAAGAUCUCUUAUUUAUCGCAUUCCAGUUGGUCAUAUGUUUUCACCUCAAGCGGGGUGUUGUCUAUUUGCAAGAAGAAUUGAAGAAUGUUAAAGAUUAUCAGACUAUGCAAUUCGUAGUAACGGCUUAUUUACAGAGAAAUGGAAAUGGUCAAAAGUUUUGGCCACAAAAAUAUUAUUUACAACAAAUUUUAAAAGCUUGUAAUAAAAUGCGAAUUACUGCUAUUAUUGACUAUCCUGGUGGCUUGCCAGUUACACCCCUCUCUGGAAACUUAAUCAAAUGCUACAAAGAUGAAUGUAGCGGUAGAUGGGAAUUAAAAGUGGAAGAACGCAUGAGUUCCUGUAGUAGUGAGCAAUUCAUCAGUGAAUUGCAAGCCGGCUUACAAAGUCAUUCAAUUUAAUAAGUUCUGAGCCGAAAUAUUUGUAAAAACAAAAAGUUGCGAUAAGAUAAGAGGCUUGAUCGACGAGCUAAUAAUAUAAUAUAUAUGAUAUAAAGUUAAUAUACAACUAAUUGAAGAUGUUACCUUAAUAGCUGCAAAAAAAAACAUACAGAACAGUUGCAGAUACUUACCAUGCUAAUCAUCGGGUGUCCUUAGCGGUGUACAAACAGUAGAAUGUGUACAUAAAUAGCGAGACCUAGUGCCAAACGGCGAGCAACGUCCACCAUUUGUCACGAAAAAUUCAACUUUUGGGAGGAGUGCACAAUAAAUGUUCAUCUUAACUUUAAAUUACUAAAAUUCGUAUUUCACAAUACAAUUUCCAUCGAAUGUAUGCUAAUAAAUUGUAUUUUUUUUUGUAAAUAUAGAAAUUAUUAAAAACACUUUGAUAAAAUACUUUUAAAAAA